CGCGCAGCGGCCAGAGGAGGGGGCUUCCCCGGAGGAUGCCUGGCGGCAGCGCCCGGCUUCUAGUCGUGAGCUGAGCCGGACCCAGAGCGGGCGGCGUGUCGCCAUGCCGGCGUGACGGUCGCCCCCGGCUUCCCGCGCGGGCCCCCGCGCUGCCCCACGCCGCGCCGCGCCGGCGCCGGGCGGCAGGAUGGGCUGUAUCCAAAGCAUCACCUGCAAGGCGCGGAUCCGGCGCGAGAACAUCGUGGUGUACGAUGUGUGCGCCACCAUCGACCAGUGCCCCACGCGCAUCGAGGAGACCUCGCCCAUCGUCCUGCGCUACAAGACUCCCUACUUCAAAGCCUCGGCCCGCGUGGUCAUGCCCCCCAUCCCCCGCCACGAGACCUGGGUGGUGGGCUGGAUCCAGGCGUGCAACCAGAUGGAGUUCUUCAACACCUACAGCGACCUGGGCAUGUCAAGCUGGGAACUGCCUGACUUGAGGGAAGGGAGAGUAAAAGCCAUCAGUGACUCAGAUGGUGUGAGCUACCCUUGGUACGGGAACACCACAGAGACUGUGACCCUGGUUGGCCCCACCAACAAGAUCUCCAGGUUCUCCGUCAGCAUGAAUGACAACUUCUACCCCAGUGUGACGUGGGCAGUCCCAGUGAGUGACAGCAAUGUGCCAUUGCUCACAAGGAUCAAGAGGGACCAAAGUUUCACUACCUGGCUAGUGGCCAUGAACACCACCACAAAAGAGAAGAUCAUUUUACAGACCAUCAAGUGGAGGAUGAGGGUGGACAUUGAGGUGGACCCUCUUCAGCUCUUGGGGCAACGGGCCCGGCUGGUGGGCAGGACUCAGCAGGAGCAGCCCCGGAUCCUGAGCCGGAUGGAACCCAUCCCCCCCAACGCACUAGUGAAGCCCAAUGCCAAUGAUGCCCAGGUCCUCAUGUGGAGGCCCAAGCGGGGGCCACCUCUGGUUGUGAUCCCUCCUAAGUAAAAGCAGACUGGCCUGACUGUGUGUGGAGCACAUACCACUGAGACAUGCAGUGAGGUUGCCAGGAGUGGCAAGAGCCAAACUGAGUUUCUGAGCCAAAGCAGACCUCUUGGUUUGCCAGCCUAUGCAGCCACUUGUGAAGAGUAGGCCUGCUCCUUGGGCGGUAGAACCAUAAUCCUUAGAAAAGUUCCUCCUUUUAGGAAUAAAGAAAUCACUGAUUUGACAGACUUGCUGUGAUUACCAUGCAAGUAGCCAUAUUUUGGAGCUGACCAGGAUGAUUCUUUUAUAUGAACUAUUGACCAUUUCUUUCCUGUGAGAUGCAGGGGAUAGAAACGAAGUUAAACAGUGCCUGUGGCAAAUGCUGCUUCCCAACCAAUUAGAAGUGGGCGUGAAAACAUCCAUACCAGGUGUCACCUAGUAGGACAAGGCACGCCCAGCAAGCAGAACCACAUGGCAGAGACUAAGAGGAGGAAAUGAGCAAUGGCUGUAGCUCCAGAAGCUGAAGCCCUGGACAGCUGAUUUCCCAUUAAAACGAGUGCCAUCCUGCCUGUCUCCUCGCCAUCCUCCCAUCUCAUGACCCGCACCCCCCCCCCAUCCCACCAUGUGCCAUGCAGCACUCCCCAUGGGCUGGCUGGGCUGGCUGGUUGGCUCCUGAGGAGCUAUGUUGAAGUGGGAGUUGUGUCUGCUGUAUCUUUGUGUGAAAAGAUUGGGUCCAUCCAGAUCUCAAGUUCAUCCCCAACCCUCUAAGUGAAGCUGCCCAGGGAUGAAGAGCUGGUCAGCCUGCACUUCAGAUACCUAAAUUGGCCCAGCCAUGGUUCCCAAACCCUGCCUUCCUUCCCUACACUUUUGGGUGGGAAACAGGGGAAUAUGUAUCUCCCCUCUUUCUCCCUUCUCCACACGGGUGGCCAAUGUUAAUAAUACUCUUUCAAGAUUUCUCUGAUCCUUGGAGAGUCAGGGCCAAAGCAAUCUUGUCUCCCCUACACAUCCAGGCUGGGUGCCUUCAGGUGACCAAGGGCGAAGGGUAUGUCACCAGGAUCAAUGGGGUAAGGGGAGAACCACCCUAAGAGGGCAAAAAAUGUGUGCAUUGUUUUAUUUAUUGGUUUAUUUAUUGGCUUGCUCACUGAUUUAUUUAUUUAUGAAAUGUCUAUUUAUUAUACAGCAGAAAAUCCACUCCCAUCCAGCCCCAGAAUUUAUCUUCUUGGCCCCAUAGAGCACAAUGAGUUAUUCCUCUUUGAAGCCACAGAAAGCAAGGGGGAAAAGUUCUCUCUCUCCACCCCAUCCUGAUUUUCAACCAGAAAUGGAGUUAGAAACCACCAGCUAGUGAGGCUGUAAAGCCACACAAAUCAGCAGAGGCUCGACUGUCCAGACAGAAGCUCUCAGAAUCCUCUCCCCACCCAACCUCCCCUUAGAACCAGUCCUCCCCUUCUUGUGCGCGGGUGGGGAUUGGCCAGAGGGCUCUAGCCUAACCAUCUCAGAACUAGACUUCUUCUGCUCGGGUGCUGUCUUCUUACCACCACAUGCAUGUUAGAGACACCUGAGAAGCUUAAAAAAUCCAUGCCUGGUCCCCUUCCCAGCUCAUUACAACAGAAUCUCUGGGAGUAGAGCCUGGGCACCGGUGUUUUCAAAAAGUUACCCAGAUGAUUCUAAUGUGAGACUAGGGUUGAGAAGCAUUUCUAGUGUCUUCUCUCCUUUGCCUCUCCCCACUACCCCCAUCCUUCAUCUUUAUCUCCCAAGCUUUCUCCAGUGCAGAGAAUGGGAAAGGCCGCUGAGGAUGACAGAGUUCCCUUCCCAUUCCUCCAGCCCCUCCCCAUCACUGAACCUCCCCCAUCAGGUCAACCAACCUGAGCACAGCCCUGGAGAGUUGGCAGGUCCCACCUGUGUCACCUGUCUCCUCACCAUCCUCUCUGGUUGU
Molecule: RNA transcript, 2882 nt
Organism: Diceros bicornis minor
Lineage: Eukaryota; Metazoa; Chordata; Mammalia; Perissodactyla; Rhinocerotidae
Gene: FAM78B
Gene name: family with sequence similarity 78 member B
Exons: 3
Source: RefSeq, a predicted model, not a curated record